Molecule: transfer RNA, 77 nt
Filed under: Cronobacter phage vB_CsaM_GAP32
Lineage: Duplodnaviria; Heunggongvirae; Uroviricota; Caudoviricetes
Rfam family: tRNA
About the family: Transfer RNA (tRNA) molecules are approximately 80 nucleotides in length. Their secondary structure includes four short double-helical elements and three loops (D, anti-codon, and T loops).
Source: Rfam by way of RNAcentral
UGCGGAGUAGAGCAGUCUGGUAGCUUGCAAGGCUCAUAACCUUGAGGUCGUGUUUGGUUCGAAUCCCACCUCCGCAU